UUAGUUACCAGCACGUUAUGGUGGGCACUUUAAGGAGACUGCCGGUGACAAACCGGAGGAAGGUGGGGAUGACGUCAAGUCAUCAUGGCCCUUACGGCCUGGGUUACACACGU
This 113-nucleotide ribosomal RNA is filed under the name bacterium enrichment culture DGGE gel band A17. RNAcentral's name for it is "partial 16S ribosomal RNA". It matches the Rfam family "Bacterial small subunit ribosomal RNA", at positions 1111 to 1223 of the family's 1533-position model. The record is from RNAcentral.